RNAcentral lists this ribosomal RNA (468 nucleotides) under uncultured bacterium. RNAcentral describes it as "partial 16S ribosomal RNA". It matches the Rfam family "Bacterial small subunit ribosomal RNA", at positions 28 to 507 of the family's 1533-position model. The record is from RNAcentral.
GACGAACGCUGGCGGCGUGCUUAACACAUGCAAGUCGAACGGAAAGGCCCUGCUUUUGUGGGGUGCUCGAGUGGCGAACGGGUGAGUAACACGUGAGUAACCUGCCCUUGACUUUGGGAUAACUUCAGGAAACUGGGGCUAAUACCGGAUAGGAGCUCCUGCUGCAUGGUGGGGGUUGGAAAGUUUCGGCGGUUGGGGAUGGACUCGCGGCUUAUCAGCUUGUUGGUGGGGUAGUGGCUUACCAAGGCUUUGACGGGUAGCCGGCCUGAGAGGGUGACCGGCCACAUUGGGACUGAGGUACGGCCCAGACUCGUACGGGAGGCAGCAGUGGGGAGUAUUGCACAAUGGGCGGAAGCAUGAUGCAGCAGCGCCGCGUGCGGAAUGACGGCCUGCGGGUUGUAAACCGCUUUCGCCUGUGACGAAGCGUGAGUGACGGUAAUGGGUAAAGAAGCACCGGCUAACUACGUG